GGAGGCGUAAGGGCGCCUGGUGGCCCUCCCGGUCUUCAAAACCGAGGUGUCCGAGCAACUCGGGCAGGUGGGUUCGAUUCCCAUCCGCCUCCGC
RNAcentral lists this transfer RNA (94 nucleotides) under Streptomyces sp. TS71-3. RNAcentral's name for it is "tRNA-Sec". It matches the Rfam family "Selenocysteine transfer RNA". Lineage: Bacteria; Bacillati; Actinomycetota; Actinomycetes; Kitasatosporales; Streptomycetaceae. The record is from RNAcentral.